ACUACAAUUACACUUUUCAUACCCAACAGGACUUGAGAUUUAUACCUGGAGUACAAUGUUCCUGGCAUGUGUGAAAAGUUCACGGACACAUUCUAAUCAUUGCUUCAUAUCCUCCUAGGUUACCCCUGCCCAGCCACAGUCUUGGUGAGCAGUUCUGAGUGAGCUUUCAACUUUAUGCUGCCAAGUUCUUGUCUCAAGCUUAAGCUGCACAUCUUUUGCCUUCUGCCCUGCGGCUUCUCUGAAGUCACAGUGUGGACACCCAGGGAGACACUUUGCAUUCCCAUGCCAACAGAAGAAUUAAUACCAAAGGACGUGAGGCCAGCUCAAGGAACAGCAGUGUGAUAUGUUUGGGGAACCUGACAAGAUUUCAAUGUGAACACAGAGAUGACACAGGUAGGAGUUGGAGAAAGAAGAUCCUCUGUGCUUGACAUGAUCAGAAAGAUAGGAGGAGAAAAUGAGAUCAACUGAAAUGCUAGGUCUCAAAUCAUAUUCA
Molecule: long non-coding RNA, 493 nt
Filed under: Ictidomys tridecemlineatus (thirteen-lined ground squirrel)
Lineage: Eukaryota; Metazoa; Chordata; Mammalia; Rodentia; Sciuridae
Description: lncRNA (ENSSTOG00000029813.1)
Source: RNAcentral